GACGAACGCUGGCGGCGUGCUUAACACAUGCAAGUCGAACGGAAAGGCCCCUUUGUUGGUACUCGAGUGGCGGACGGGUGAGUAACACGUGAGUAACCUGCCCUUGCCUUCGGGAUAACUUCAGGAAACUGAGGCUAAUACCGGUUAGGGAUCCUUUCUGCAUGGUGGGGGUUGGAAAGCUUCGGCGGUUUUUGAUGGACUGGCGGCGUAUCAGCUUGUUGGGGGGGUAGUGGCUUACCAAGGCUUUGACGGGUAGCCGGCCUGUGUGGGCGACCGGCCAUCUUGGGACCUAGGGACGGCACAAGUAGGUAAGGGUGGCAGAAGGGGGGAAUCUUGAAGAAUGGGCGGAGGGCUGAUGAAGCAAGUCUGCGUGCCGGAUGACGGCGUUAGGGGUGAAGAACGAAUUUAGAAGGGGCGAAGCAUGUCGUGACGGUACCUGCAGAAGAAGCAACGGCUAACUACGUG
This 465-nucleotide ribosomal RNA is filed under the name uncultured bacterium. RNAcentral describes it as "partial 16S ribosomal RNA". It matches the Rfam family "Bacterial small subunit ribosomal RNA", at positions 28 to 507 of the family's 1533-position model. The record is from RNAcentral.